ACGUGGGCGAGCGAGCGCGCUGCUCCCACCCGGCCGCCCAUUAACGCUUUCUCCCGUGGGCGCCGCGCUCUUGCCAACUUUCCCCUCCGUCCGGUCUGCGCGCGGCGCGCCGGGUGCAGGAGCUGGGGUGAGGGCGCCCCGGGUGCCAGCAGGGGCGCCGGGAGCUGUUUGGGCGGGGACGUAGGGCUCCGGGAGGUCACACAGCCCUAACAGGACAGUGGGAAGGCGCGCGAGCCAGAUUUGGCCAAACGCUAAGCUCGCUGCGGCCUCGGGCCCUCGGCCCACGGGGCCCCUCUCCCCGUUUGGGCUGCCCCACCCAGGGACGCUUGGGCCGGGCGCGAAGAGCCCGGAAAUAGCCACCCUUGUCGUCGGCCCGGUUUCCCUCCGAGGUCUUAGUAUUUCCCCCCUCCCCCACCCCCCAAGGCCUGUGGAGGGCGAGGCUGCUGCUCCAGCCAACCCUCGGAAUUGGCUGCAGGGCGCUCAGGUCCUGCCUUUCUUCCCCUGCCCCUCUCCCAAGCCCCUCCGUGCUAAGCGGCCCAGUUCUGGGUUCUCUCCUGGUGCCCACGCUAGUCCCUACCCGGCUCACUCUCAAAACAGCAGGCUGUGGCAGGGGCAAAGCCUAGGUGUGGGCACCAGGACCCGGGCAAGUGGGUGCGAAUGGACCACAGUGAUAAGCCGCCCGAGGACCAAUGAGUCUGUGACCUGCCCGGGCUAAGGGGGGCAUGCCCUGGUGGGGAGCCUGGUCCCAGCCGCCAGGGUUAGGGGAGGGCAUGGGGGCUGGACCUCUGGCCUGGGGUCAGACUAGGGCUGGAGGGUCUUCCGCUUCUGCAGCCUGAGGCCAGGACCCAGUCAGGGAAGAGCCGCUGCUCUGCAGAGGUCAAGACAGGCCCGGAAGGGAAGCUGGAGCAGCAGGUGACCGGCUGCCCAGGAUGAAGAAACGGUGUCCAUAAUACUGAAAUGCAUCAGCAAUUUUAAGAAGGCCUCAUUAUUAAAAGCGAAAGGCUAUUAGUUCCAGCAGUGUCUGCAGUCUGUAUAUUUAAAUUUGAAAUGUUUACCUGGCACAACCUCAAAUCAUGAGAACCCCAGCUAGAAGAGACAUCCACAUGAGAUUAAGUUAUUUUAAAUUGUAGAAAAAGGCAGCAGUAUGUACGACUGCCAAGUGACUUGAAUAUUGUUUUGAAUUAUUUGAUGUAGCAUUAAGAAAACCUUCAGUAGGUAGAGAAGAAAUGUAUAAGUAUAUCUUAAAUGCAAUUACUCUUUGCAUAUUGCUAUAUGUGGUAGGAACCUCAAAAAUACCGAACUAUAGAUGUAGGAGAGGCCCUGAAACCUGGGAGCUAAUGGGGUCUCCUGCCUGGAAUUUGCAGGGAGGUUACAUUCCUGAAAUGAGAAUGUAUGAGAAACAGCAGAAAUGAGAAACAGCAUCGCUGCUUCCUGAGGGCUGUUACUGACAUGAACGAUUCUCUAGUACUUGGAUGCAAAAUGUGCUUUAAUAAAUAGAAGGUGACAAGA
Pan troglodytes (chimpanzee) is the source of this 1509-nucleotide long non-coding RNA. RefSeq lists it as uncharacterized. The transcript has 3 exons. NCBI's taxonomy places the organism in Eukaryota, Metazoa, Chordata, Mammalia, Primates, Hominidae. The record is from RefSeq and is a predicted model, not a curated record.